Molecule: ribosomal RNA, 550 nt
Filed under: uncultured bacterium
Lineage: Bacteria
Description: bacterial SSU rRNA
Rfam family: Bacterial small subunit ribosomal RNA
Source: RNAcentral
UCGAGCGGUAACAGAGAGUAGCUUGCUACUUUGCUGACGAGCGGCGGACGGGUGAGUAAUGCUUGGGAAUAUGCCUUAUGGUGGGGGACAACAGUUGGAAACGACUGCUAAUACCGCAUGAUGUCUACGGACCAAAGUGGGGGACCUUCGGGCCUCACGCCAUAAGAUUAGCCCAAGUGGGAUUAGCUAGUUGGUGAGGUAAUGGCUCACCAAGGCGACGAUCCCUAGCUGGUUUGAGAGGAUGAUCAGCCACACUGGGACUGAGACACGGCCCAGACUCCUACGGGAGGCAGCAGUGGGGAAUAUUGCACAAUGGGCGCAAGCCUGAUGCAGCCAUGCCGCGUGUGUGAAGAAGGCCUUCGGGUUGUAAAGCACUUUCAGUAAGGAGGAAAGGUUAAGUGUUAAUAGCACUUAGCUGUGACGUUACUUACAGAAGAAGCACCGGCUAACUCCGUGCCAGCAGCCGCGGUAAUACGGAGGGUGCGAGCGUUAAUCGGAAUUACUGGGCGUAAAGCGUACGCAGGCGGUUUGUUAAGCGAGAUGUGAAAGC